GCGGGUGUGGCGGAAUUGGCAGACGCGCUGGAUUUAGGUUCCAGUGCCGCAAGGCGUGCAGGUUCGAUUCCUGUCACCCGUA
RNAcentral lists this transfer RNA (82 nucleotides) under Leuconostoc carnosum. RNAcentral's name for it is "tRNA-Leu". It matches the Rfam family "tRNA". Rfam says of the family: Transfer RNA (tRNA) molecules are approximately 80 nucleotides in length. Their secondary structure includes four short double-helical elements and three loops (D, anti-codon, and T loops). The record is from RNAcentral. Lineage: Bacteria; Bacillati; Bacillota; Bacilli; Lactobacillales; Lactobacillaceae. RNAcentral also lists the same sequence under 2 other names.